RNAcentral lists this long non-coding RNA (509 nucleotides) under Rosa chinensis. Its description in RNAcentral is "sRNA RchiOBHm_Chr5g0046931". It matches the Rfam family "Eukaryotic small subunit ribosomal RNA", at positions 643 to 1113 of the family's 1831-position model. The record is from RNAcentral. Lineage: Eukaryota; Viridiplantae; Streptophyta; Magnoliopsida; Rosales; Rosaceae.
AAAUGAACAAUGUACGUGAAUACGAAUCUUACAUUACUGGGUAACACAUUUGGGUGUAUGUGUACCAUGAGAAGAUAUGAUUUCUCGUCCACCCACAUCCACCCUCUUCAAUUUGGGCCUUCAGUUUGCAACUACAAAUUUUCAUUACAUUUCGAGGUGUUUAGUUAAGGGCUUACUUAAUUUAUAUUAGAACAAAUAACAAAACCAAUCAAUACAUGUAGCAUAUCUUGCCUUUUUGAUCACGCUAUCACACCGUCAAUAAGGGCGGUUAACAUAAAACUUCUCAGCAUUCGUAUUUUAUAGUCAGGUGAAAUUCUUGAAUUUUUGAACGAUGAACAACUGCAAAACAUUUGCCAGUGAUGUUUUCAUUAAUCAAGAUCAAAAGUUAGGGACUCGAAGACGAUUAGAUAUCAUCUUAGUCUCAACCAUAAAUGAUGCCGAACAGGGAUCGGUGGAUGUUAUUUUUAGGACUCCGUUGACACCUUAUGAGAAAUCAAAGUUUUUGGGUU